Molecule: ribosomal RNA, 237 nt
Filed under: uncultured Planctomycetales bacterium
Lineage: Bacteria; Pseudomonadati; Planctomycetota; Planctomycetia; Planctomycetales
Description: partial 16S ribosomal RNA
Rfam family: Bacterial small subunit ribosomal RNA
Source: RNAcentral
GGAGUUAGGAAAUGUAAGUGCGCUAAUAUCGCAUUUAUUUGACGAAGGCUCCAAAGGAAACCACGGCUAACUCUGUGCCAGCAGCCGCGGUAAUACAGAGGUGGCAAGCGUUGUUCGGAAUUAUUGGGCGUAAAGAGCACGUAGGUGGGUUUGUAAGUCAGAUGUGAAAGCCUUCUGUUCAACGGAAGAAUUGCAUCUGAAACUACAAGUCUUGAGUGUAGGAGGGGAGAGUGGAAC